GAUGAAGAACGUAGCGAAAUGCGAUAAGUAGUGUGAAUUGCAGAAUUCAGUGAAUCAUCGAAUCUUUGAACGCACAUUGCGCCCCCUGGUAUUCCGGAGGGCAUGUCUGUCCGAGCGUCAUUAGUCCAAUCUCAAGCCCGGCUUGUCGUUGGGUCGCACCGCCCGGGGCGGUGGACCCGAAAUAUAAUGACGGGGUCUAGCGGACCGUGGGCGCAGCGAGCUUUUACAGCACGCGUCCCGGCGUCAUCUAGACGCGUCUCCAACCAUACUCUCUGUAGGUUGACCUCGGAUCAGACAGGAUUACCCGCUGAACUUAAGCAUAUCAAUAAGCGGAGGA
Molecule: unclassified non-coding RNA, 337 nt
Filed under: soil metagenome
Description: partial contains 5.8S ribosomal RNA, internal transcribed spacer 2, and large subunit ribosomal RNA
Rfam family: 5.8S ribosomal RNA (bases 1-120)
Source: RNAcentral